GUGCCAGCUGCCGCGGUAAUACCGGCAGCCCGAGUGAUGGCCGAUCUUAUUGGGCCUAAAGCGUCCGUAGCUGGCCGACCAAGUCUCCCGGGAAAUCCACCCGCCAAACGGGUGGGCGUCCGGUAGAAACUGGCCGGCUUGGAACCGGAAGGCUCAGGGAGUACGUCCGGGGUAGGAGUGAAAUCCCGUAAUCCUGGACGGACCGCCGGUGGCGAAAGCGCCUCGGGAGGACGGACCCGACGGUGAGGGACGAAAGCCAGGGUCUCGAACCGGAUUAGAUACCCCGGUAGUCC
RNAcentral lists this ribosomal RNA (293 nucleotides) under uncultured bacterium. RNAcentral describes it as "partial 16S ribosomal RNA". It matches the Rfam family "Archaeal small subunit ribosomal RNA", at positions 455 to 747 of the family's 1478-position model. The record is from RNAcentral.